AUCCAGCUGAUGACCAGUCCCAAAUAGGACAAAACGCACGUCCUGGAU
Molecule: non-coding RNA, 48 nt
Filed under: Schistosoma margrebowiei
Lineage: Eukaryota; Metazoa; Platyhelminthes; Trematoda; Strigeidida; Schistosomatidae
Source: RNAcentral